UACGUAGGGUGCGAGCGUUAAUCGGAAUUACUGGGCGUAAAGCGUGCGCAGGCGGUCUGUUAAGACCGAUGUGAAAUCCCCGGGCUCAACCUGGGAAUGGCAGUGGAUACUGGCAAGCUAGAGUGUGUCAGAGGAUGGUGGAAUUCCCGGUGUAGCGGUGAAAUGCGUAGAGAUCGGGAGGAACAUCAGUGGCGAAGGCGGCCAUCUGGGACAACACUGACGCUGAGGCACGAAAGCGUGGGGAGCAAACAGG
Molecule: ribosomal RNA, 253 nt
Filed under: uncultured bacterium
Lineage: Bacteria
Description: partial 16S ribosomal RNA
Rfam family: Bacterial small subunit ribosomal RNA
Source: RNAcentral